UUAAGCGACUAAGCGUACACGGUGGAUGCCCUGGCAGUCAGAGGCGAUGAAGGACGUGCUAAUCUGCGAUAAGCGUCGGUGAGGUGAUAUGAACCGUUAUAACCGGCGAUUUCCGAAUGGGGAAACCCAGUGUGUUUCGACACACUAUCAUUAACUGAAUCCAUAGGUUAAUGAGGCGAACCGGGGGAACUGAAACAUCUAAGUACCCCGAGGAAAAGAAAUCAACCGAGAUUCCCCCAGUAGCGGCGAGCGAACGGGGAGGAGCCCAGAGCCUGAAUCAGUGUGUGUGUUAGUGGAAGCGUCUGGAAAGGCGCGCGAUACAGGGUGACAGCCCCGUACACAAAAAUGCACAUAUUGUGAGCUCGAUGAGUAGGGCGGGACACGUGGUAUCCUGUCUGAAUAUGGGGGGACCAUCCUCCAAGGCUAAAUACUCCUGACUGACCGAUAGUGAACCAGUACCGUGAGGGAAAGGCGAAAAGAACCCCGGCGAGGGGAGUGAAAAAGAACCUGAAACCGUGUACGUACAAGCAGUGGGAGCCUCUUAAUGGGGUGACUGCGUACCUUUUGUAUAAUGGGUCAGCGACUUAUAUUCUGUAGCAAGGUUAACCGAAUAGGGGAGCCGAAGGGAAACCGAGUCUUAACUGGGCGUUAAGUUGCAGGGUAUAGACCCGAAACCCGGUGAUCUAGCCAUGGGCAGGUUGAAGGUUGGGUAACACUAACUGGAGGACCGAACCGACUAAUGUUGAAAAAUUAGCGGAUGACUUGUGGCUGGGGGUGAAAGGCCAAUCAAACCGGGAGAUAGCUGGUUCUCCCCGAAAGCUAUUUAGGUAGCGCCUCGUGAAUUCAUCUCCGGGGGUAGAGCACUGUUUCGGCAAGGGGGUCAUCCCGACUUACCAACCCGAUGCAAACUGCGAAUACCGGAGAAUGUUAUCACGGGAGACACACGGCGGGUGCUAACGUCCGUCGUGAAGAGGGAAACAACCCAGACCGCCAGCUAAGGUCCCAAAGUCAUGGUUAAGUGGGAAACGAUGUGGGAAGGCCCAGACAGCCAGGAUGUUGGCUUAGAAGCAGCCAUCAUUUAAAGAAAGCGUAAUAGCUCACUGGUCGAGUCGGCCUGCGCGGAAGAUGUAACGGGGCUAAACCAUGCACCGAAGCUGCGGCAGCGACACUAUGUGUUGUUGGGUAGGGGAGCGUUCUGUAAGCCUGUGAAGGUGGCCUGUGAGGGUUGCUGGAGGUAUCAGAAGUGCGAAUGCUGACAUAAGUAACGAUAAAGCGGGUGAAAAGCCCGCUCGCCGGAAGACCAAGGGUUCCUGUCCAACGUUAAUCGGGGCAGGGUGAGUCGACCCCUAAGGCGAGGCCGAAAGGCGUAGUCGAUGGGAAACAGGUUAAUAUUCCUGUACUUGGUGUUACUGCGAAGGGGGGACGGAGAAGGCUAUGUUGGCCGGGCGACGGUUGUCCCGGUUUAAGCGUGUAGGCUGGUUUUCCAGGCAAAUCCGGAAAACCAAGGCUGAGGCGUGAUGACGAGGCACUACGGUGCUGAAGCGACAAAUGCCCUGCUUCCAGGAAAAGCCUCUAAGCAUCAGGUAACAUCAAAUCGUACCCCAAACCGACACAGGUGGUCAGGUAGAGAAUACCAAGGCGCUUGAGAGAACUCGGGUGAAGGAACUAGGCAAAAUGGUGCCGUAACUUCGGGAGAAGGCACGCUGAUAUGUAGGUGAAGCGACUUGCUCGUGGAGCUGAAAUCAGUCGAAGAUACCAGCUGGCUGCAACUGUUUAUUAAAAACACAGCACUGUGCAAACACGAAAGUGGACGUAUACGGUGUGACGCCUGCCCGGUGCCGGAAGGUUAAUUGAUGGGGUUAGCGGCAACGCGAAGCUCUUGAUCGAAGCCCCGGUAAACGGCGGCCGUAACUAUAACGGUCCUAAGGUAGCGAAAUUCCUUGUCGGGUAAGUUCCGACCUGCACGAAUGGCGUAAUGAUGGCCAGGCUGUCUCCACCCGAGACUCAGUGAAAUUGAACUCGCUGUGAAGAUGCAGUGUACCCGCGGCAAGACGGAAAGACCCCGUGAACCUUUACUAUAGCUUGACACUGAACAUUGAGCCUUGAUGUGUAGGAUAGGUGGGAGGCUUUGAAGUGUGGACGCCAGUCUGCAUGGAGCCGACCUUGAAAUACCACCCUUUAAUGUUUGAUGUUCUAACGUUGGCCCGUAAUCGGGGUUGCGGACAGUGUCUGGUGGGUAGUUUGACUGGGGCGGUCUCCUCCUAAAGAGUAACGGAGGAGCACGAAGGUUGGCUAAUCCUGGUCGGACAUCAGGAGGUUAGUGCAAUGGCAUAAGCCAGCUUGACUGCGAGCGUGACGGCGCGAGCAGGUGCGAAAGCAGGUCAUAGUGAUCCGGUGGUUCUGAAUGGAAGGGCCAUCGCUCAACGGAUAAAAGGUACUCCGGGGAUAACAGGCUGAUACCGCCCAAGAGUUCAUAUCGACGGCGGUGUUUGGCACCUCGAUGUCGGCUCAUCACAUCCUGGGGCUGAAGUAGGUCCCAAGGGUAUGGCUGUUCGCCAUUUAAAGUGGUACGCGAGCUGGGUUUAGAACGUCGUGAGACAGUUCGGUCCCUAUCUGCCGUGGGCGCUGGAGAACUGAGGGGGGCUGCUCCUAGUACGAGAGGACCGGAGUGGACGCAUCACUGGUGUUCGGGUUGUCAUGCCAAUGGCACUGCCCGGUAGCUAAAUGCGGAAGAGAUAAGUGCUGAAAGCAUCUAAGCACGAAACUUGCCCCGAGAUGAGUUCUCCCUGACUCCUUGAGAGUCCUGAAGGAACGUUGAAGACGACGACGUUGAUAGGCCGGGUGUGUAAGCGCAGCGAUGCGUUGAGCUAACCGGUACUAAUGAACCGUGAGGCUUAACCUU
RNAcentral lists this ribosomal RNA (2902 nucleotides) under Escherichia coli KTE189. Its description in RNAcentral is "bacterial LSU rRNA". It matches the Rfam family "Bacterial large subunit ribosomal RNA". The record is from RNAcentral. Lineage: Bacteria; Pseudomonadati; Pseudomonadota; Gammaproteobacteria; Enterobacterales; Enterobacteriaceae.